This 467-nucleotide ribosomal RNA is filed under the name uncultured bacterium. RNAcentral describes it as "partial 16S ribosomal RNA". It matches the Rfam family "Bacterial small subunit ribosomal RNA", at positions 28 to 506 of the family's 1533-position model. The record is from RNAcentral.
GACGAACGCUGGCGGCGUGCUUAACACAUGCAAGUCGAACGGAAAGGCCCUGCUUUUGUGGGGUGCUCGAGUGGCGAACGGGUGAGUAACACGUGAGUAACCUGCCCUUGACUUUGGGAUAACUUCAGGAAACUGGGGCUAAUACCGGAUAGGAGCUCCUGCUGCAUGGUGGGGGUUGGAAAGUUUCGGCGGUUGGGGAUGGACUCGAGGCUUAUCAGCUUGUUGGUGGGGUAGUGGCUUACCAAGGCUUUGACGGGUAGCCGGCCUGAGAGUGUGACCGGCCACAUUGGGACUGAGAUACGGCCCAGAGGCCUACGGGAGGCAGCAGUGGGGAAUAUUGCACAAUGGGCGGAAGCCUGAUGCAGCAACGCCGCGUGCGGGAUGACGGCCUUCGGGUUGGAAACCGCUUUCGCCUGUGACGAAGCGUGAGUGACGGUAAUGGGUAAAGAAGCACCGGCUAACUACGU